RNAcentral lists this long non-coding RNA (2529 nucleotides) under Malus domestica (apple). Its description in RNAcentral is "long non-coding RNA (MDOM_LNC006163)". The record is from RNAcentral. Lineage: Eukaryota; Viridiplantae; Streptophyta; Magnoliopsida; Rosales; Rosaceae.
UUCAAUAGAUGGGAUCGAUGGGAAUGAGUGUUUGAGGUGGCUUGAUAAGCAGCCCAAUGGGUCAGUUUUAUUUGUUUCAUUUGGGAGUGGUGGGACUCUCUCACAAGAGCAACUGAAUGAGUUGGCCUUGGGUCUUGAAUUGAGUGGGCAUAGAUUUAUUUGGGUUGUCAAGAGUCCAAACGAGACAAUGAAGAAUGCUUCUUUUUUUAGCGUCCAAGGUGAAGAGAACCCGCUUGGGUUUCUACCAAACGGGUUUCUUGAGAGAACAAAAGAUGUGGGUCUAGUUGUGCCGACGUGGGCCCCACAGGUCGAAGUGCUGAAUCACAGGUCAACGGGCGCGUUUUUGACCCAUUGCGGGUGGAACUCGACACUAGAGAGCAUCGUGCAUGGUGUGCCUCUGAUUGCUUGGCCGCUCUAUGCAGAGCAAAAGAUGAAUAAGGUGCUUCUAGUUGACGGUUUGAAAGUUGCAUUGGGGGUUAAGGAGAAUAAGAAGGGAAUAGUGGAAAGCCAAGAUGUUGCUACUUAUGUUAGGGACCUCAUUGAAGGAGAUGAAGGAAAAUUGCUAAGGAAGAAGAUGGAAGAGUAUAAAGAGGCUGCCAAAUUGGCUUUGGCAGAAGAAGGGUCGUCUACCAAGUCACUUGCUGAGGUUGCUCAAAUAUGGAAGGGACUCAAGAACUAAUUAAUAUCCUAAUUUGUCAAUUAUUGCUGUCUAAUUCACCAAUGACACUGUGCUGUUUCCUUUGCUUUUAUCUUAAAUGAUAUCUUCUUUACUGUAUUCACAUUACUUAUGAUUUUUCUAGUCGAGUAUGAUUUUAAUUUGAAUACGCUACUAUUUCUCGCUCAUGAAUAAGUCUAAUUUUCUGUUGAAUCAAAUCGAAAAUACAUGUUUCUAAUUCCGUCCAAAAAGUUUUGGAAUGAAUAUAAAUUCCAAUUCAAAAUUAUAGGAGUUGUAUAGCUCCAAUUAUUCCAAGAUAAAAAGUAUCAUAUCUCCUCUCUCUACAUAAUAUAUAUUUUUUGUUGUAAACAUUGGUGGCUGACCAUUAAAUGAUGUAAUGGAUGACUAUAUCAACCACUUUAGAGCACUGUAGCUUAGCUGGCAAUAAGGUAACAAGCACUAUCAUCUAUGCCUAUAAAAGGGAAUGUUGAAGAUGAGAGCAAAUAUAUAGAAGCCACAAAGUUCACGGAAGAGGAAGAGAGAGGAAGAGGAGAGGAGAUAAUAGAGAGAGUUAUUUUUGUACUCAUAUUAUUUCAAAUUAUAAUGAAAGUACCACUGUUAUACCGAUGAUGUACUCCAGUCACACUGACUGUAGAGGAACCUCGUAAAUUUUGUGUCUUAUUUCAUUUAUUCCACUACACACAUGAUCGAUUUUACAACAGUUAUCAACACAAGAAGCUCUCAUAUCAGUGGAAAACACAACUCCAUAAAUCAGGUGAAGUACUAUCUACCUCUCACCUCCGUCAGCUAAAAUCUCACAGAAUAAAAGGUAUGUCCAUUUUUUUAUCUCUCCCACCGCGCCAGAAGCGCCCCACCGAAUUUUGGUGCGAAUACAACGAACUGAAGUCGUCACGAGAUAAGAAAACUCGUACUUGACAACUGGUUUCCAGAGAUCCAGAAGAAUCUCAUCAGACUUGGAAACCCAUAUCACAUCGUUCUCGAUGGAUCUCAAGGACCUCCAUGAUUCCUUAGUUGUCUGAGAUGGUGAUUAGGGCUGGGUUCGGUUCGAAACGGUUCGGUUUUUUGCCAAAACCGAAACCUAACAGAAAUUUUGGUUCGGUUCGGUUCAAUUUUUUUCGGUUCGGUUUCGGCCUGGUUCGGGUUUUUUUUUUAAAAAAAUGAAUAAAAAUUGAAAUCUAAAAUUUUAACAUCUCCAACACAAUCGUAACAUAAGCAUUCAUACACAAUGAAAAUCAAUAUUUAAAGUUCAACUAGAAUCAUCAAUCAAAUCUUCCAAAGUCCAAACUUAAAAAAAAACAUCAAAGUUUAAGUCUUCAAAAAGUCCAAAUUUAAAAUAAACAUUACACUACUCCAAGUCUUCCACACCUAAAAUAAACAUAAUAAAGUCCAAAUUUUACAGAAAUAUUCCACUUAACUAAAAUCAUAAACUCAAAUAAACCUUCAAGAUUUCAUGUCUUCCACACACUUCUUCUCUUCAACUCCUCAAGUUCAACGUUUAGGCGGCCUAGAAGAGAACAUAGCAGAUUAACAAUGUAACCGUUAUCUCACUAUGUGGUUAAUCAACAUAUAUAUAUAUAUAAGAGGGAGAGGUAUUCCACCGGUUUUUCCGGUUGGACCGGUGAUAAAAACCGGUUCAAUAGAUGGGAUCGAUGGGAAUGAGUGUUUGAGGUGGCUUGAUAAGCUACCCAAUGGGUCAGUUUUAUUUGUUUCAUUUGGGAGUGGUGGGACUCUCUCACAAGAGCAGCUGAAUGAGUUGGCCUUGGGUCUUGAAUUGAGUGGGUAUAGAUUUAUUUGGGUUGUCAAGAGUCCAAACGAGACAAUGAAGAAUGCUUCUUUUUUUAGCGUCCAAGGCG